GACGAACGCUGGCGGCGUGCUUAACACAUGCAAGUCGAACGGAAAGGCCCUGCUUUUGUGGGGUGCUCGAGUGGCGAACGGGUGAGUAACACGUGAGUAACCUGCCCUUGACUUUGGGAUAACUUCAGGAAACUGGGGCUAAUACCGGAUAGGAGCUCCUGCUGCAUGGUGGGGGUUGGAAAGUUUCGGCGGUUGGGGAUGGACUCGCGGCUUAUCAGCUUGUUGGUGGGGUAGUGGCUUACCAAGGCUUUGACGGGUAGCCGGCCUGAGAGGGUGACCGGCCACAUUGGGACUGAGAUAAGGCCCAGACUACUACGGGAGGCAGCAGUGGGGAAUAUUGAACAAUGGGCGGAAGCCUGAUGCAGCAACGCCGCGUGCGGGAUGACGGCCUUCGGGUUGUAAACCGCUUUCGCCUGUGACGAAGCGUGAGUGACGGUAAUGGGUAAAGAAGCACCGGCUAACUACGUG
Molecule: ribosomal RNA, 468 nt
Filed under: uncultured bacterium
Lineage: Bacteria
Description: partial 16S ribosomal RNA
Rfam family: Bacterial small subunit ribosomal RNA
Source: RNAcentral